GGCUGUGCUCGGCGCUUUGAUCACGAGCUGCUCGCACAGAAAGCCCCCGGCCCCAAAGAUUCGUGGGGUCCUGGGCACGCAGCUCCGGAACCGGCAGCACCUCCGGGUGCGCUCUGCCAAAAUCCCCCCCCGGGGAGGAUGGACACCCCCUCCUGCCGUCACCUCGCUGAUGGAGAAAGGCAGCUGCUUCAGCGCGAUGGUUGCUGAGGGGACUAUUGAGACACACUGGCAGACUCCUCAUCUGGUUCCACCUUCCUGGAGAUGCAAUGCAGAUGGAUCCAGAACGCAGGUUAGCUUCCAUAGAUCUAAAUGGUGGAGUCUUCAACUAGUAAACAGAGGGAAUGACUGCUCUUCUUUGCUGUUGUAGAAAUGCAGCAAUGGGUAAAAACAGUCAGAUGUUGGAGCAGGGAUCUCUGCUGCGUGACAUGGUUUCACCCGGAAACCUUUGCUGCGUUAGCUCUAUUGGCACUCUUCAUCUCUGGUUCUUGAGAUGCUGCCAAGAGGGAGGUGACCCUCAUCCAGGGUCCAGGAGCAAGCAGGGACAGGACUGGGGAUACAGCCCUGUGCCCAAGCAUCUCCCUGCUCACACAGGAGCGUGACCCACCAGAGGUGGCAGGUGGAAAUCAAACGUAAUUUGGGACUGUUGGAGCCAGGAAAGAGUGAGAUGAGUCCUAGUGGGGAGACCAGCCUCACCUUUCAUAUUCUAAUGCCUUGCCUUUGCCUGAUUUGUGAGCUCUGGGGAGUCCUGCUGGGAAUUCACUCGAACGGAGGCACACGCUGCCGUCCCUCGGUAAAUUACACAGAGAUAUAAUGAAGGAGGAGAAAUCAGUUACUCUGUGACUGCAGCUCCCCGGGGGACCUUAAUUCAAAUAUUUGUGGAGCUGAGCAAGUGGGGCGUUGGGGAGCCGUGGAGUUGGAGUGUCUCUCCACAGGUUUCUGCAGGUGGUUGGUGGUGGCAGGGCUGUGCACUGUGCCGUGGGAUCCUUCCCCAAAGGGCUUUGAGCUCUUGGUGGUGUUAGCCAAGAGGAAGGUGAUGAGGAAAUAUGGAGGGUUGGUGCUGCAUCUUCCUUGAAAACAGAGGUGCACAUGGUGGUGGCGGUUGAGAUGUUUGGGAUGACUGUGGGGUGAUGGGGGAUCUGCCCAUGGCUCUGCAUUGCCCCAAGGGCUGUGGCCCAGCUGGGGAUAGCUCAGUCAUGUUUCCUCCAGCUAGAUGGGAGCAGGGCAUGUGUGGGUUUGAGAAGUGUUGGGAACUCUUCUCCACCACCCACACGGCCAUUACGUUCAGAAGGGAUCAUAAAAAGUGUUCCAUGCCACGAGGCAGCGGGUGAACCCCAUGUUGUUCAACUCAGGCACGAGAAAAUCGAUUUACCUCCAGCUCCACUGCCAGCCUGUGCCUUCUGUGCGCCCACAAACCAGGCUCACAGGGCAUGCCCGAAACAAGUCCCACUUCACCCUGACAGCCCAGGCUGUGACUCAAUGGGGUCCCACACCAUCAACCCAGGUGCUCAGAGACACCUGUACAGCCAGGAUAAUGCACGCAAGUGUGAGCACACGCUCGUCGCACGCCUGCUCUCACGUGCAUCAGCUCUGCUGGCAGCACUGUGCCGCUCCGCUCCCAUGCCGACAUCCCGCACCGAGUGCACGGCACCACAUUUGCACACACAUGCUCGCUCCGAGCAGCACGGCUGAGCUUCGUCUCAGGAUGUCGUAUACAAUGGGGGCAAUCCCACUCACGCCCACACCCGAGUGCAAAGCCCCCACGCCUUCCCCUUGCACACACAGCACCUCGGGUCGGCACGCACACGCGGUACGGAUCUGCGGCACGCCAACUGUUGGGAAAAAAAAAAACCCACACAGAUUCAGCCGAGAGAGAGAGAGAGAGAGGGGGAAAGAAAGAGAGAGAGAAUGACAGACUGCAAUCCCCCUUGAGUGCCUAUCCUCAUGAAUAUUAAUAAGAUGGUAAUUAAAAUGCAGGGACACAGCAGGACGGAUGCAGGCGCUGCCUUCGGAGCGCUGGGAACGGGGGGAGCGCGUCUUUCCAGGCAGGUUUUGAUUCCGUUCUCUGAUGAAAAGAAGAAAACGGAGCCUUCAACUUUAAUCAGUUUAGAGUUUUUUUGACACGACAUAUCUUUAAUUGCUGAUAUUUCUGCUCUCCUCAAACCCAGCUCUACCGUCUCCAGUCUAACCAGAGAUAACGAACCGCGGUGAAGCGCCACGGAUUCGUGCCGUGUUUACGCCUCGACUUGUUUUCUACUUUGCUGGGGUUUCACUUCUUUGCCUCAGGUCGGAGGGCACGGCCCUGGCACACCCAGCAAGGGGUGGGGGGCUGGAAAUGGAGCCCGACAUCUCUUUGUGUAGCCCCCUCCCCAUAGACUUCCCCUAUUGCAGCCAUAGGGAAACCAACCUCUUGUAGGUGCUCAUCUCCUCUUGGCCAUGGCUUCCUCUGGAGGAUGCUUGGAGCAGGCUCACAGGUCUCUGAACGAGGGGAACUGAAGUGUUGCUUGCUUUUGGUGAAGAUCAUCCACUGGGUCUGAUCUGUGGAUGGAUGAGCAUCCAAUGGCUCUCAUCCAUGGAAGGAGAACAGUGUUGAUGGGAAAAUGAAGGAAGAGUGUUGGUUGGUGCCCAAAGAGAAUGUCUUGGGUGUGAAAGUAGGACCAGGUCAGCACAGAGAUGUGGAUGAUGUAGGAGGGGCUUUCUGGCAAAGAGAAAAAAAUAAGGACCCACAAAAUGCCCCAUACCAAUAUGAAUAUUUAGUUUAGGUCAAGCCAUAAUGUUUGGUUUGGACAGAAAGGGUUUUUUUUUCAUUGUGUUUGGAGGUGGCUUAUUUUCUUUAGAUCUCCUCUUUUGCAUUGAGGUAAUCUUUGAGCUGAAAGCAGUAGGUUUGCUGGAAUUUAAAAAAAAAAACAACAAAACAACUUUCAGAAAAUGCCCAAAUACAAUUUGUCAUGCAAGUGAUGGAAGAUGGUUUGCAUUUUCAAACCUGCCCAGCAUACACACCAUGCAAUAUCCCUGCAGGAAAAGCAGAGCUGCAGCACCCUGGAGCUCUCGAGGUUCUGUUGUACAGCAGGGCAAUGCUGGGGUAUAAUGAGAUGUUUUCAGGUUGGAUAUUAGGAAAAGCUGCUUCUCCAAAAGAGCGGUGCUGCGCUGGCACAGCUACCCAGGAGUGAUGGGGUCACUGUCCCAGAGGUGCUUCAGAGGAGAUGUGGCACUGAGGGCCGUGUCAGUGGGUGUGGUGGGGUGGGAUGGAGUUGGACCUGGGGAUCUGAGAGGGCUUUUCCAUCCUGCACGAUUCUGUGACUCAUCUCUUAUCACAGACCUUCCCAGAGAGGUGUGGGAUCCCCUUCCUGUACCCAGCACUCUGUGGGAUGCCUGCUCAGCCCAGCUGACCAUGGAGCACCUUUGCCAUGAAGCCCCAGCCCACUUCCCAAACCCCAUGGGCAGCAGGGGGGUCUCCCUGUCAUCCUGCCCUACAGCAAAGCUGCUUCAUACUUGAUAUGAGCUGAAGCCAAGACUGAUGGUGAACUGCCACAAA
This is a long non-coding RNA of Phasianus colchicus (ring-necked pheasant), 3532 nucleotides long. RefSeq lists it as uncharacterized. NCBI's taxonomy places the organism in Eukaryota, Metazoa, Chordata, Aves, Galliformes, Phasianidae. The record is from RefSeq and is a predicted model, not a curated record.